Molecule: long non-coding RNA, 198 nt
Organism: Sinocyclocheilus rhinocerous
Lineage: Eukaryota; Metazoa; Chordata; Actinopteri; Cypriniformes; Cyprinidae
Exons: 3
Source: RefSeq, a predicted model, not a curated record
AGAAAUAUUCGUUGACCCAUAGAUAUGUAUAGAUGCCCCAUUCGACGGCUCCAGGCAUGUAGAUGCGGCCGCCAUCUUGGAACGGUCAACUUGACGUCAUUCACCAUACUGUAGGUUCUCACAGAGCCAUUGAGCCGUUCUGUGCAGGAUUGUGGCAUCUUUCGAAUAUUCAGUGAUUACUAUGGUGAAUGACGUCAA